GUGGGCGCGAGGUUGCCGGGGGGGGGAUGAGGAGGUGCGUACCGCAUGGGGGAGGGGACAGUCUCGGGUGAGAUCACCACGGAGCGGCUUAGCGCGGCGCACAAGUCUCGCGAGAGAAGCGGCGGCUGGGCCCUGCAGGCGGAGGAAGUGGAAAAAGUCGCGGGAGGGUAGGGGACCGCGGAACUUCUGGUUGCUAUGACGACGGCAAAGCCCUGGAUUCCUGUCUCCUGCGGAGAGCAGAGGCUGCAAACGGCAUUCAAGCAGCCCUGAGGAGAGGUCCACAUGGUGAGCCACUGAGGGCCUUGCCAAGAGCCAGCACCAACGGUCCAGGUUUGGAGUGUACCACCUUGGAAGUGAAUCUUCCAGUCCAGUCAAGCCUUCAGAUGACUUCAGAACCGUCCAUGUAAGCCACUCUUGGAUUCCUGACCCACAGAAACUGUUGGAGUAAGUGAUGUUUCUGAAGCACCAAUGAAAAUGAAGUCCUGAAGUCCUGUGCUCAAUAUGAAAUGUUGGAAGUUAGAAGAAAAAAACAAAACUUGGAUCCAAUCUCAAGGCACUUUUUGUUUAAUGGGAAGAAGUGGAUUAUUUUAAAAGCUACAAAUAAAGUUACAUAAAAGUAGCAAA
Molecule: long non-coding RNA, 624 nt
Filed under: Homo sapiens (human)
Lineage: Eukaryota; Metazoa; Chordata; Mammalia; Primates; Hominidae
Description: HSALNT0212865
Source: RNAcentral